RNAcentral lists this ribosomal RNA (368 nucleotides) under uncultured bacterium. RNAcentral describes it as "bacterial SSU rRNA". It matches the Rfam family "Bacterial small subunit ribosomal RNA", at positions 28 to 404 of the family's 1533-position model. The record is from RNAcentral.
GACGAACGCUGGCGGCGUGCUUAACACAUGCAAGUCGAGCGGAAAGGCCCUUUUGGGGGUACUCGAGCGGCGAACGGGUGAGUAACACGUGAGUAACCUGCCCUGAACUUUGGGAUAAACCCUCGGAAACGGGGCUAAUACCGGAUAUGACCUGGUGCCGCAUGGUGGUGGGUGGAAAGUUUUCGGUUGGAUGACUCGCGGCCUAUCAGCUUGUUGGUGGGUGAUGGCCUACCAAGGCGACGACGGGUAGCCGGCCUGAGAGGGCGACCGGCCACACUGGGACUGAGACACGGCCCAGACUCCUACGGGAGGCAGCAGUGGGGAAUAUUGCACAAUGGGCGGAAGCCUGAUGCAGCGACGCCGCGUGA